RNAcentral lists this ribosomal RNA (390 nucleotides) under uncultured Anaerolineaceae bacterium. RNAcentral describes it as "bacterial SSU rRNA". It matches the Rfam family "Bacterial small subunit ribosomal RNA", at positions 977 to 1382 of the family's 1533-position model. The record is from RNAcentral. Lineage: Bacteria; Bacillati; Chloroflexota; Anaerolineae; Anaerolineales; Anaerolineaceae.
GGGUUUGACAUAUAGGUUGUAGGGAACUGAAAGGGACCGACCUUCGGGGAGCCUAUACAGGUGUUGCAUGGCUGUCGUCAGCUCGUGUCGUGAGAUGUUCGGUUAAGUCCGCUAACGAGCGCAACCCUCGUCGUAUGUUAUAUGUGUCAUACGAGACUGCCGGUAAAAAGCCGGAGGAAGGUGAGGAUGAUGUCAAGUCAGCAUGACCUUUAUAUCCAGGGCUACACACACGCUACAAUGGUCUGUACAAUGGGUAGCCAAGCCGCGAGGCGGAGCCAAUCCUGAAAGCAGGCCUCAGUUCAGAUUGCAGUCUGCAACUCGACUGCAUGAAGCCGGAGUUGCUAGUAACCGCAGGUCAGCAAUACUGCGGUGAAUACGUUCCCGGGUCUU